This 1022-nucleotide ribosomal RNA is filed under the name Stagonospora pseudopaludosa. RNAcentral describes it as "SSU rRNA". It matches the Rfam family "Eukaryotic small subunit ribosomal RNA", at positions 74 to 1105 of the family's 1831-position model. Lineage: Eukaryota; Fungi; Ascomycota; Dothideomycetes; Pleosporales; Massarinaceae. The record is from RNAcentral.
UUAUACCGUGAAACUGCGAAUGGCUCAUUAAAUCAGUUAUCGUUUAUUUGAUAGUACCUUACUACUUGGAUACCUGUGGUAAUUCUAGAGCUAAUACAUGCUAAAAACCCCGACUUCGGAAGGGGUGUAUUUAUUAGAUAAAAAACCAAUGCCCUUCGGGGCUCCUUGGUGAUUCAUAAUAACUUCUCAGAUCGCAUGGCCUUGCGCCGGCGACGGUUCAUUCAAAUUUCUGCCCUAUCAACUUUCGAUGGUAAGGUAUUGGCUUACCAUGGUGGCAACGGGUAACGGGGAAUUAGGGUUCGAUUCCGGAGAGUUAGCCUGAGAAACGGCUAACACAUCCAAGGAAGGCAGCAGGCGCGCAAAUUACCCAAUCCCGACACGGGGAGGUAGUGACAAUAAAUACUGAUACAGGGCUCUUUUGGGUCUUGUAAUUGGAAUGAGUACAAUUUAAACCUCUUAACGAGGAACAAUUGGAGGGCAAGUCUGGUGCCAGCAGCCGCGGUAAUUCCAGCUCCAAUAGCGUAUAUUAAAGUUGUUGCAGUUAAAAAGCUCGUAGUUGAACCUUUGGCCUGGCUGGCAGGUCCGCCUCACCGCGUGCACUUGUCCGGCCGGGCCUUUUCUUCUGGAGAACCGCAUGCCCUUCACUGGGUGUGUUGGGGACCAGGACUUUUACUUUGAAAAAAUUAGAGUGUUCAAAGCAGGCCUUUGCUCGAAUAUUACAGCAUGGAAUAAUAGAAUAGGACGUGCGGUUCUAUUUUGUUGGUUUCUAGGACCGCCGUAAUGAUUAAUAGGGACAGUCGGGGGCAUCAGUAUUCAAUUGUCAGAGGUGAAAUUCUUGGAUUUAUUGAAGACUAACUACUGCGAAAGCAUUUGCCAAGGAUGUUUUCAUUAAUCAGUGAACGAAAGUUAGGGGAUCGAAGACGAUCAGAUACCGUCGUAGUCUUAACCAUAAACUAUGCCGACUAGGGAUCGGGCGGUGUUACUAUUUUGACUCGCUCGGCACCUUACGAGAAAUCAAAGUG